This 69-nucleotide transfer RNA is filed under the name Varicospira cancellata. RNAcentral describes it as "tRNA-His". It matches the Rfam family "tRNA". Rfam says of the family: Transfer RNA (tRNA) molecules are approximately 80 nucleotides in length. Their secondary structure includes four short double-helical elements and three loops (D, anti-codon, and T loops). Further hydrogen bonds mediate the characteristic L-shaped molecular structure. tRNAs have two regions of fundamental functional importance: the anti-codon, which is responsible for specific mRNA codon recognition, and the 3' end, to which the tRNAs corresponding amino acid is attached (by aminoacyl-tRNA synthetases). tRNAs cope with the degeneracy of the genetic code in two manners: having more than one tRNA (with a specific anti-codon) for a particular amino acid; and 'wobble' base-pairing, i.e. permitting non-standard base-pairing at the 3rd anti-codon position. Lineage: Eukaryota; Metazoa; Mollusca; Gastropoda; Littorinimorpha; Rostellariidae. The record is from RNAcentral.
AGCUAAAUUAGUUUAACAAUAUAACGCCAGCCUGUGGAGCUGGAGAUGAGAACCUUUCUCAUUUAGCUA